Long non-coding RNA from Notolabrus celidotus (New Zealand spotty), 1618 nucleotides. RefSeq lists it as uncharacterized. The transcript has 8 exons. Lineage: Eukaryota; Metazoa; Chordata; Actinopteri; Labriformes; Labridae. The record is from RefSeq and is a predicted model, not a curated record.
CAUACAAGCAGGCUCCUGCAGCAGCAGAAGAAGAGAUGGCUGUGCUUCCUGUUAAUCUAUCUUCCCACGAUGAUGAUGAUGAUGCUAGCCCAAAGGUGACAUACAAGCAGGCUCCUGCAGCAGCAGAAGAAGAGAUGGCUGUGCUUCCUGUUAAUCUAUCUUCCCACGAUGAUGAUGAUGAUGCUAGCCCAAAGGAAUUUACUGUCAGAGGAUCAUCCCUGGUGGAUUAUUCCGACAGUGAUGAAAGCAAUGAGAAUUGUUUAAAUGACCAGCCAUUGGGUCCACACUGUGAUGAAGUUGUUCCAAAGUUGAGAAGGACAAAAAGCAUUCUGAUGAAAACAGUUCCAGAUUUUUCUGAUGAUCUCUACGAUUCAAGUGAUGACGGUACAGAGGGCCCUUCAACUCAGUCCAAGUCUGAGAUGGCUUCACAAAGGAUGGAGACAUUACAAGAUUUUUUGUCAACCUCUUAGUGAUUCAAAUGAGAGUAUUGUGGAAGAAACCGAUGAUGCGGAUUCCAUAAAGGACCAUUCCGAUGUGCAAUCAGACAUUGAAGUUGUUCCAAAGCUGAGAAGGACAAAAAGCAUUCAGUUGCUAGCAUUACAGAGGCACAGGAGUCAGAAGAUGAGGACAGUAUGAUGUCACUGCCAGCCAGCACCUCUGCAGCGUCUGCCCAAAACCAGAGAAGUUCUGCAAAAACUAGAGAAGCCAGGAUGGCAGAAGCCCAGGAAUCAGAAGAUGAGGCAAGCACCGCAUCACUGCAAAAAAGCAUCCCUACAGCGUCUGCCCAAAACCAUAGGAGGAAGUUUGCAAAAAAGAGAAGUAAACAAACUGCUGUUAAAAGAAACUGGACACCAGAAGAAUGUGCUGCAGUACGACGACAUUUAAAGAAAUUCAUUGUGAUGGCGCAAGUCCCAGGGAAGGAGGACUGUCAGCGCUGCAUCACUGCAGAACCUCAAGCUCUGAAGAGCCGAGACUGGAGGGCAGUGAAAUACUUUAUUAAAAAUCGAAUUUCUUCUCUGCGAAGAAAAAUAGAGUGAAAGUGUUUCACUGAACAAGGUAAAAGAUAGGCUAGUAGGAGGAAGUUCUAUAAUAUUUGACAUAGCCCUACUGGAAGCAAAACAAAGCUCAACAAUGUUUUUAUAUUCUCUGAAGUCUCACACAUAUAAAAUAGAUUCUUGCAUUAUGACAUAAACUGAGCUCAGGUGCACCAAUGUCCCACUCAGUCUGGCUGUAUUUAUUCCUGAAAUGAUUUAGGGAAUGUGUUACAGUAGUCAUAAAUUUAACCACUUUAUGUUAAAAUAUGUUUAUAUCAUAAUCUACUUCAUAUAGCUGAGACUGAAGAGGAUCUGAAAACAUGUUUGUGCUCUGUUUUACCUCCGGUAAGGACGUCUCAAAUACUAAAGCACGUCAAAGUCUCCAAUGUUAUCAUGUUUUUAUGUUAUUAUGUUGUGUUUUUAUCAACACAAGGAGCUGUUUUCCUGUUACCAAAGCUCAUUGUAAUACUCAGCACUUGAUUUGCAGCAUUAACAGUUUUCUGCAUACAUGUUAUCAGUUAUUACAUUAUGAGAAAAUUAUAACAUAAACUAAGCAUGCAGCAAUUUUUUUUGUACUUUUUUCU